This 467-nucleotide ribosomal RNA is filed under the name uncultured bacterium. RNAcentral's name for it is "partial 16S ribosomal RNA". It matches the Rfam family "Bacterial small subunit ribosomal RNA", at positions 28 to 523 of the family's 1533-position model. The record is from RNAcentral.
GAUGAACGCUGGCGGAGUGCCUAAUACAUGCAAGUCGAGCGGCAGCACGAGUAGUUUACUACUUGGUGGCGAGCGGCGGACGGCUGAGUAACGCGUGAGAACGUGCCCCAAAGUGAGGAAUAACCGCCCGAAAGGGUGGCUAAUACCGCAUAUGGUCUUCGGAUUAAAGGAUUUAUCCGCUUUGGGAAUGGCCUGCGUACGAUUAGAUAGUUGGUGGGGUAAUGGCCUACCAAGUCUACGAUCGUUAACUGGUUUGAGAGGAUGAUCAGUCAGACUGGAACUGAGACACGGUCCAGACUCCUACGGGAGGCAGCAGUGAGGAAUCUUCCACAAUGGGCGAAAGCCUGAUGGAGCAACGCCGCGUGCAGGAUGAAGGCCUUCGGGUUGUAAACUGCUUUUAUAAGUGAAGAAUAUGACGGUAACUUAUGAAUAAGCACCGGCUAACUACGUGCCAGCCGCCGCCGUAA